AGGAUCCUUGCUAGCCAUUCUCAUUGUGACCCAGGCAGUAGCAUCCAUCCCAGGCUUGGUCUGGUUCCCUUCCUGCCACUUCAGGGCUUACAGCACAGAAAGGCAAGCAGUGCCACUGAUUCUUUCCUUCCUCCUUCCCACCUUUGCAGGAAGCUUUUAUCCAGCUUCAGCUCAAGCAGAUCCAUUACAUUCCUCCUGGGCAUGAUUCCCCCUCCACUGAGCAGCUGCACAAAUCAAGCAUCCUGUAUUGAGAGGAAAGGAGAGGAUCCUCUCCAGCCCUUUCUGAAACGCAUGCAGCACUGCAGAAACCAGGGCAAAGCAUUCACAAUGCUCCUAAAUCUCCUGAGGACCACAGUGUCCUAUCAAAGGGAGACAUCAAAUCCAAAUCUGGCCCUGUAAUAGCCGCAAACCUUGAGAAAAAAACCUGAACUCAUAAUGUUUACUAACAAUUUGUAUUUAUAUAUUUAUAUCAUCCUUAGGAGUGGGAUAGCUGAACUCUUCACAACACAAAAACCACCACCACAACGAAGUUCACAGCUUAUAGAAGCACUCCCUGCUUUGUGGAGCAGCGUUGCCUCAGACAAGCAGCCACUAUCAAUACAAACUAACCUGAAACCACCCAGAAAUGAAUCUGCGGCUGUACAGCUUCUCCUUUCCCCCUGCUCGAGACGGAGCAGGGGUGCUUGCAGCGUUGGCUGCCUGCCCUGCAGUGCCUCCCUGCCCGGAGAAGAGAAAGCAAAACCACUUCUCUCCCAGCCAAGUCAACCCUGUGGCUUCCCCAGCUGCUGCUGGCAAGGGCUGCUGCGACAGCAAGUUCUCGGUACAGCUCCUGGCUUCUUUUGGCCAGUGUUUGCCCACCCUGGAGUAACACACACUGGUGGCAAGUCCUUUGGCUGCAUCCUGCUGACCGCAGUGGGCUCGGAGCCAUCUGAGCGUGGCCCUUCCCAACCAGCUGGAUCACGGGUGGGAACUCCUCCGUUGCCACCUUGACAGACUUAUAUGCAUUUUCCACAUCAGCUGGAGCAGAUGCGCUCACUUUCCAAGAAUAAAUCACGUGGAAGCGCGGCUCCUUGCCACUCACCUCCUUGACCUCGGCUUGCGAAGAUGGCAGCGCCUCAGCUUCUCGAUGUUUGUUUGUGCCAGAAGUCAGCCCCGGAUAUGCCGCCCCUCCGUGCUGUCUCCAUACACACCCUCACUCUUCAGCGCAGCCAUCCAGUUUGACGGUCUCAAGCUUCACAUUUGCUUGUUUAUCUCAAGACCAAGCCUGGUUCGCAGGGUCAAGGCCAGAAUAAACCACCAUUCCCAGAAAACACAGCAGCUCCGGCCACUUGCAGGAAAAGACACGCAUACACGCAAGCCCGGAGAGGAGAAAGCUGCAAAGCAACUUCCCCAUCACAGCCUGUGCCUCAGCACCACUUUGGGCACUCACCGAGGGGUGUCCCAACCCCAUUAGACCCUGCAUUGGGCUCAUCAGUGUUUGCACGGAGCCGGGCAGGGCAAAGUCUCUUCUCCUGCUGCCUGUCUGGGGAUCUCGGGCAAAUACAAGCUUCCGAGCCCUGAGUGAUGGGAGCUGCCGGCAGGCAGGCAGGGACAAGCCUGCUGUUCCUUGUGUCGCAGCUCAGCACCGUGCCCAGCCCAGCUGCCCCUCGGGGAAGGCAUCCCCUGCCCUCGGCUUUAAUUCAAUCCUAGUAAGGAACUGCUGAGGACACGGCAAAUGCUACAUCCAAAAGGUCCUCACCACCAUCCCAAGAGGAAUCACAAUGCCACAGUCCUACCCGAGAGCUUCUGAGCCCGCGAUUGGUGGUCCCAGGAGUGGCCUCUGCCCUCCUACACAAAACCUGUGCUCUUUGCCUGCGUCCUGAACACACCGUGGGGAGCAACGCCUAUGCAAGGGCACCGUCUACAUCCCACACUUCAUUAAUAGCCCCCUCUGCUCCAGAGAGCACCUGCAAUGCCAUCUCAGCACAGUUUGCAGGCUCAUAAAAUCACGUACAAAGCAAAUUGCACCUUCUGUUCUCUUCCUCCAUCCCCCCUCAGCUGCAUCAGGCCCUGCUCCCAGCCCACACCUCAGAGCGAAGUCCUAUUGCUGCUGUAGCAAUAACCCUGGUGCCUUGGCGUCAGUGGCCAGAGACAGGAGCUGCUGCCGUCUCCACGUCAAGU
This is a long non-coding RNA of Cuculus canorus (common cuckoo), 2160 nucleotides long. RefSeq lists it as uncharacterized. Lineage: Eukaryota; Metazoa; Chordata; Aves; Cuculiformes; Cuculidae. The record is from RefSeq and is a predicted model, not a curated record. The transcript is spliced from 3 exons.